GCCAGUAGCGUGGCUGACUUCUUGUUGGUGGGAGGUGACGGCCAGUCUCAUUCGGUACUAUUUCCCGUAUUAAUUCAUCGGUGCUACCGAUUUAUUUUGUCAUCCGAAGUUAUCCUUGUUGAGGACUAACAUGCCAGAGCAGCCCGUGCAAGUGACAGUCAGGAUGACCGAGACACACCUCGCCCCCGGCGUGUGCACCGUGUGCAGGUUCCGGUUGGGGAGACCAUCUACUAUCUGACACACCAGUGACCCGAGUUAACAGCAAGACUAUCACAGCCGUGUUACCAAGUAGGCCUAUGGAACUACGAGUCGUCU
Long non-coding RNA from Hyalella azteca, 315 nucleotides. RefSeq lists it as uncharacterized. The transcript has 3 exons. The record is from RefSeq and is a predicted model, not a curated record. Lineage: Eukaryota; Metazoa; Arthropoda; Malacostraca; Amphipoda; Hyalellidae.